Long non-coding RNA from Acinonyx jubatus (cheetah), 1933 nucleotides. RefSeq lists it as uncharacterized. The transcript is spliced from 2 exons. The record is from RefSeq and is a predicted model, not a curated record. NCBI's taxonomy places the organism in Eukaryota, Metazoa, Chordata, Mammalia, Carnivora, Felidae.
AAAUAAUAUCUACAUGUAUCAGAUUCCAAAUGGGAAGGAUUCUGUCUUUCAAAUCCAUUAAGCAAAAACAAACAAGAGAAACUGUUACACUUAAGUACAAAGAAUGACACUGAUUAUGCUUUGGGGAACGUGAAGGGAUCACUGAGAGAUAACACUUGAUUUACUACUCUGUGACUUUCUCACUUGAUGAAUUUCUCCACUUAGCCAUUUAGACUUUAGCUUUAGUGGAGACCCGCUACACUCCGGUUGCAGGGGGGUAGAUUCCAGAGACUCAAUUUUGAUUGUGAGUAAUUACAUCCAACUUCAAUACUUAAUUAACUCUGAAUUUUCUUAACUCCCUCUUCCCUCCUCUUAAAACAAACACAUAUCCAAAAAACAAGCCUCCCCCAGAAGCCACCACUGAAAAAAAUUAGUUCAAGUCAAGAAUUUGGCAUAAAAAUACAUGAGCCAAGUAACUGCAUAUGGUUACAAAAUGUUUCAAUGGUGCUCUUUCUCCUUGAAUUAAAAUUUUAAUGUGUCAAGUUGAUUCCCUGGAUUGUUAGAGAUUAAAAAAAAAACAACAGGAUACUUUAAGAAACUUUGCUUUAAAAGAGUGAGAAGAAAGGGAAGAAACAAUUCCCAUUUUUUCCUGGCUCAGAGUGUCUAGUGUUAAAGUCAAAUUUUAAUCUCGUAGAUAAUGAAAAAAAUUACUGCGUCAGAUUUUCCCUCCUAUCUUAAGAUGUUGUAAAAACUAUAGUGACUUAAUUUGUUUUUAUUAAUCUUUUCUUUUCUUUCUUUUUUUUUUUUUUUUAGUACAAGGGGGUGGGAGUGGUUUUUUGCACGUGUUUUAAGUAAGCCUGAACAAAUUUAUCUUCGUUCUUUUGCCUGUAUUCUUUUGACUCUUGUUUGUAGGAGUUUGGAUGGGGAAAAAACCCAAAAGAUGAGGGUUAGCUAUGUUUCUUGCACAAGUUUGUAUAUUUGCAUUUUUAAAAUAUUUAGGAGCUACAUUAUCUAAUGUACUCUUUCUAUUUAUCUAAAAAAGAAAACACAAUACUACAAUAUACAGUGUGUUUUUUUCUUUAUUCCUUUACGGUUGUUAAUGUACACAGUAGAUGUAGGAAAUUUAAGAUUUGAGCCCAGCAAAAUAAUUACCAGGGAGGAAACGAUGGGUUUGCUUGAGGAAAGGAACAAACACUAUUCAUAGGCUUUACCACCUCUGUAAGAUUUGUGAACUCUGGGAAUGAUUAGGAAGUGAUUGGCUGGCAUGACAAAAUUGAGAGGCAAAACACCUUAACUUUGAAACACAAUCUCCAAUGUCUGAGUGUGUGAAUUAACAGCUGACCAAGUGUGUUAUGAAUAGGGAAACAAAUGAAAGCUGAGGGAAAUUUUUGGAAGUUGAAUGUUUCCUACACUGUAAUCACCUGUUUGCCUUGAGUUACUUACAUGCUUUAUCUCCAACAUCUGUUGCUCAGAUUUAGGACCUAUGAGCAACGUGACCUCAAAUGUAAAGUGAGUUGACCUAAAAGCAAAAAUCUUUUCAAAUGCCAUCAAGAAGUGAGCUUUGUUACACAACAAUAAUUAGACUAAUGAAAAACAAUAAACUUUUUCUUAAUUUUCUUUAAGGCUGAAGCUGAUGUGUGAUUAUGCUCUUUAUUCUUUAAUUUAUAGCUGUUCCUUAGUAGCCACCAAUGCUGUCUUUUUUCAGUUUACACAGACCCACAGAUCUUCUGCUCCAUGAGGCCUGGGAGGCAGCGUGACCUUGAGGAAAAGCCUGAGGCCUUGAGUUGGAAGGCUUUGGUCUUGAAUCCCAGCCCUGUCCCUGGGCCUUAACUUCCUUAAGAGGCAUUUGUGGCUGCCAGUUGUGACUCCAAGAGAGAGCUUGUUCCUGCCUGCCUGUUCCUUGGGCUUGGAGAAGGACCCCCCAAGUCACUCUGUACUACAUUAGGAACAUAAG